This 429-nucleotide ribosomal RNA is filed under the name Gemmatimonadota bacterium. RNAcentral's name for it is "Gemmatimonadetes bacterium partial 16S ribosomal RNA". It matches the Rfam family "Bacterial small subunit ribosomal RNA", at positions 355 to 776 of the family's 1533-position model. The record is from RNAcentral. Lineage: Bacteria; Pseudomonadati; Gemmatimonadota.
UAGGGAAUCUUCGGCAAUUGACGAAAGUCUGACCGAGCAACGCCGCGUGAGUGAAGAAGGUUUUCGGAUCGUAAAACUCUGUUGUUAGAGAAGAACAAGGACGUUAGUAACUGAACGUCCCCUGACGGUAUCUAACCAGAAAGCCACGGCUAACUACGUGCCAGCAGCCGCGUUAAUACGUAGGUGGCAAGCGUUGUCCGGAUUUAUUGGGCGUAAAGCGAGCGCAGGCGGUUUCUUAAGUCUGAUGUGAAAGCCCCCGGCUCAACCGGGGAGGGUCAUUGGAAACUGGGAGACUUGAGUGCAGAAGAGGAGAGUGGAAGUCCAUGUGUAGCGGUGAAAUGCGUAGAUAUAUGGAGGAACACCAGUGGCGAAGGCGGCUCUCUGGUCUGUAACUGACGCUGAGGCUCGAAAGCGUGGGGAGCAAACAGG